CUACACAUGCAGUCGAGCGGUAGCACAGAGAGCUUGCUCUCGGGUGACGAGCGGCGGACGGGUGAGUAAUGUCUGGGAAACUGCCUGAUGGAGGGGGAUAACUACUGGAAACGGUAGCUAAUACCGCAUAACGUCGCAAGACCAAAGUGGGGGACCUUCGGGCCUCAUGCCAUCAGAUGUGCCCAGAUGGGAUUAGCUAGUAGGUGGGGUAACGGCUCACCUAGGCGACGAUCCCUAGCUGGUCUGAGAGGAUGACCAGCCACACUGGAACUGAGACACGGUCCAGACUCCUACGGGAGGCAGCAGUGGGGAAUAUUGCACAAUGGGCGCAAGCCUGAUGCAGCCAUGCCGCGUGUGUGAAGAAGGCCUUCGGGUUGUAAAGCACUUUCAGCGGGGAGGAAGGCGUUAAGGUUAAUAACCUUGGCGAUUGACGUUACCCGCAGAAGAAGCACCGGCUAACUCCGUGCCAGCAGCCGCGGUAAUACGGAGGGUGCAAGCGUUAAUCGGAAUUACUGGGCGUAAAGCGCACGCAGGCGGUCUGUCAAGUCGGAUGUGAAAUCCCCGGGCUCAACCUGGGAACUGCAUUCGAAACUGGCAGGCUAGAGUCUUGUAGAGGGGGGUAGAAUUCCAGGUGUAGCGGUGAAAUGCGUAGAGAUCUGGAGGAAUACCGGUGGCGAAGGCGGCCCCCUGGACAAAGACUGACGCUCAGGUGCGAAAGCGUGGGGAGCAAACAGGAUUAGAUACCCUGGUAGUCCACGCCGUAAACGAUGUCGAUUUGGAGGUUGUGCCCUUGAGGCGUGGCUUCCGGAGCUAACGCGUUAAAUCGACCGCCUGGGGAGUACGGCCGCAGGUUAAAACUCAAUGAAUUGACGGGGGCCCGCACAAGCGGUGGAGCAUGUGGUUUAAUUCGAUGCACGCGAAGAACCUUACCUGGUCUUGACAUCCACAGAACUUU
Molecule: ribosomal RNA, 955 nt
Filed under: Klebsiella sp. IPPW-4
Lineage: Bacteria; Pseudomonadati; Pseudomonadota; Gammaproteobacteria; Enterobacterales; Enterobacteriaceae
Description: bacterial SSU rRNA
Rfam family: Bacterial small subunit ribosomal RNA
Source: RNAcentral